GAGAUAUAACCUGCCCAAUGAUUUAUUUAAUGGCCGCGGUAUUCUGACCGUGCAAAGGUAGCAUAAUCAUUAGUCUAUUAAUUGUGGACUGGAAUGAAUGGUUGGACGAAAUAUUAACUGUCUCUUAAAUUAUUAUUAUAAUUUAAAUUUUAAGUUAAAAGGCUUAAAUUUUUUUGUAGGACGAGAAGACCCUAUAGAUCUUUAUUUUUAUUGGUUUUAUUUAUUUUGGAUUAAUUUUUAAUAAUGUUAGUUAAUUUUUAGUUGGGGNGAUNGGGAUUAAAUAUGCAAAACUUUCUUUAUUUUAUUACAUUUAUUUAUGUAUAAAUGACCUUAUUUUAUUGUUAUAAGAUUAAGAUACCUUAGGGAUAACAGCGUAAUAUUCUUUGAGAGUUCUUAUUAACAAGAAUGAUUGCGACCUCGAUGUUGAAUUAAGAAAAUGUAUGGGUGCAGUAGCUCAUUAAUAUAGGUC
This 469-nucleotide ribosomal RNA is filed under the name Isagoras taeniatus. RNAcentral's name for it is "partial large subunit ribosomal RNA". It matches the Rfam family "Bacterial large subunit ribosomal RNA", at positions 1849 to 2577 of the family's 2925-position model. Lineage: Eukaryota; Metazoa; Arthropoda; Insecta; Phasmatodea; Pseudophasmatidae. The record is from RNAcentral.